GGCUGGGCCAAGAGGCCUCUGCGGGUGCGCGCGCGAGUCGGCUGUCCUCACUUGCCUGGUGGUGGGCCUCCGUUUCCCCGUUUCCCCGUUUUGCAUAUGGGGAUGACGGCGAAGGUGGAGGUCACGUGGAGGGCGGCGGCCCGGCGCUGAGGCGCUUCGGGAGCGGGCUCCGCCCAGCCCAGGCCGAGCCCGGACCUCACACGGGCCAAAGCUGGAGCUUCUGCGGGGCUGCGCAGGCGGCGGGUCUCGGCCAGGGCAGGGCCGGGCACCUGCGCGUCUCGCGCUGCGGGGACGGGCGUUGGGCCCCAAGUCAGGCUGCACGGGCUCCGCGUGGGGCCGUGCUCGGCCGGGGGCUGGCAGGCCCCGCGGGGACUCCGGACUCCCAGUGUCACCAACGAGGAAACUGAGUCUCAAGACAUCUGAGGGACCUUUGCCCGAGGUCGCAGCCCCUCCCUGGAGGAGCUGAAGUGCAGAGUAGGGAGCCCCUUGCGGAGACCCUCCUGGGACCUCCUUCCGCAGGGGCCUGGGGCGCCUCCCUUUCCCUGCUCUGCCUGCGGGCACUGAGCUCCCGAAAGACUCCAGCCCCUCGCUCUCCCGGUGACCUGCUGGAGAAGACACCUGGGAGGAACCUGCGGACAAUGGGUGUGUGUCCUUGGGCCGCCAGGGUCACCUUUCAGCCUGUUUCCCCAGAGGUGAACCAAGAGUCACACCCAAGGCAGGAGAGCAAGAGUGAUGAGUCCGCUGCACCUUCUCCGGCAAGCGGAGGUUCUCCCGCCGCCCUCACUCUGUGAUGCUUGCUGUGCUUGCGAGGCCUACGCCAAAGCCCUGCGGGCAGCCCUGGGCUCCCGCGGACAGCCUUGCUGAGCUCCUGGGAAGGAGGCGUGCCCUCCCCUUCCCCCACCGCCCCGCUGGCUGGGGUUCUCUGCAGCCCAGGACUGUGCAUGUGUGCGCACACGGGUUCUGUGAACACGAACACAAAAGUGUGCUCGUGGACACUGCGUGGUACUGUGUGCACACAGCGCACGUCUGUGAGCUGAGGGAGUGUUCCUGGACACCAGGUGCAAGUGCACAAGUGUGUGUAUGCUGGCACAAGUGUGUGCCCAGGCGCAAACAUGGGAACGGU
RNAcentral lists this long non-coding RNA (1123 nucleotides) under Homo sapiens (human). Its description in RNAcentral is "non-protein coding lnc-ADGRB1-1:2". Lineage: Eukaryota; Metazoa; Chordata; Mammalia; Primates; Hominidae. The record is from RNAcentral.